Molecule: ribosomal RNA, 213 nt
Filed under: Lachnoclostridium sp. An138
Lineage: Bacteria; Bacillati; Bacillota; Clostridia; Lachnospirales; Lachnospiraceae
Description: partial 16S ribosomal RNA
Rfam family: Bacterial small subunit ribosomal RNA
Source: RNAcentral
UUUAACAUGAGAGUUUGAUCCUGGCUCAGGAUGAACGCUGGCGGCGUGCCUAACACAUGCAAGUCGAACGAAGCACUUAUCUUUGAUUCUUUCGGGAUGAAGAGAUAUUUGACUGAGUGGCGGACGGGUGAGUAACGCGUGGGUAACCUGCCUCAUACAGGGGGAUAACAGUUAGAAAUGACUGCUAAUACCGCAUAAGCGCACGGAAUCGCA